ACCAGCGGGAACGUGAUUGAGUGCGAUGCCGGUACUAGACAGAGCCUGCUGGACAGCUGAGUUAAUCCGAUUGGUAUCCCCAUAGGCAGAAAUAGAAACCGGCCCACAAUAAUUCAUCUUCGCCAAAGCAGAGCUUAUGUUCUGAGCUAUGGCAUGUGGGUCGCAUUCUCUGGGUACCUGGCAAUUCUCUAUAUCCCACCACACCGAGGUCUU
This 213-nucleotide unclassified non-coding RNA is filed under the name Hevea brasiliensis (rubber tree). Lineage: Eukaryota; Viridiplantae; Streptophyta; Magnoliopsida; Malpighiales; Euphorbiaceae. The record is from RNAcentral.